RNAcentral lists this ribosomal RNA (1203 nucleotides) under uncultured dinoflagellate. RNAcentral describes it as "SSU rRNA". It matches the Rfam family "Eukaryotic small subunit ribosomal RNA", at positions 577 to 1805 of the family's 1831-position model. The record is from RNAcentral. Lineage: Eukaryota; Dinophyceae.
CGGUAAUUCCAGCUCCAAUAGCGUAUAUUAAAGUUGUUGCGGUAAAAAAGCUCGUAGUUGGAUUUCUGUUGAGGACGACCGGUCCGUACCAUGUACGCGCAUCUGGCUCGGCCUUGGCAUCCUCUCGUUGAACGUUUCUGCGCUUGAUUGCGUGGGGCGGUUUGCGGGACUUUUACUUUGAGGAAAUUAGAGUGUUCACGGCAGGCUUAACGCCAGAAUACAUUAGCAUGGAAUAAUACUAUAGGAUCUCGGUUCUAUUUUGUUGGUUUCUAGACCCGGGGUAAUGAUUAAUAGGGACAAUUGGGGGCAUUCGUAUCAACACGUCAGAGGUGGAAUUCUUGGAUUGUGUUGCGACGAACUACUGCGAAAGCAUUUGCCAAGGAUGUUUUCAUUGAUCAAGAACGGAAGUAAGGGGAUCGAAGACGAUUAGAUACCGUCGUAGUCUUUACCAUAAACUAUGCCGACUAGAGAUGGGACAUCGUUCACUUACGACUUGUUCCGCACCUUAUGAGAUAUCAAAGUCUUUGGGUUCCGGGGGGAGUAUGGUCGCAAGGCUGAAACUUAAAGGAGUUGACGGAAGGGCACCACCAGGAGUGGAGCCUGCGGCUUAAUUUGACUCAACACGGGGAAACUCACCAGGUCCAGACAUAAUAAGGAUUGACAGAUUGAUAGCUCUUUCUUGAUUUUAUGGGUGGUGGUGCAUGGCCGUUCUUAGUUCGUGGAGUGAUUUGUCUGCUUAAUUGCGUUAACGAACGAGACCUUAACCUGCUAAAUAGGAGCGCAUAUCUUCGGAUAAGCGCCUUUCUUCUUAGAGGGACUUUAUGCGUUUCAGCAUGAGGAAGUUUGAGGCUAAAACAGGUCUGUGAUGCCCUUAGAUGUUCUGGGCUGCACGCGCGCUACACUGAUGCGUUCAACGAGUGUACAACCUUGCCCGAUAGGGUUGGGUAACCUUUUGAACACGCAUCGUGAUGGGGAUAGAGUAUUGCAAUUAUUACUCUUCAACGAGGAAUUCCUAGUAAUGAUGGAUCAUCAGUUCAUCGUGAUUACGUCCCUGCCCUUUGUACACACCGCCCGUCGCUCCUACCGAUUGAGCAAUCCGGUGAAUAUUUCGGACUGGGGGCCGUCGGGGCAACUCGUUCGGUUCUCGGAAAGUCAAGUUAACCUUAUUGCUUAGAGGAAGGAGAAGUCGUAACAAGGUAGCCG